AUUGAACGCUGGCGGCAGGCCUAGCACAUGCAAGUCGAACGGUAACAGGAAACAGCUUGCUGUUUCGCUGACGAGUGGCGGACGGGUGAGUAAUGUCUGGGAAACUGCCUGAUGGAGGGGGAUAACUACUGGAAACGGUAGCUAAUACCGCAUAACGUCGCAAGACCAAAGAGGGGGACCUUCGGGCCUCUUGCCAUCGGAUGUGCCCAGAUGGGAUUAGCUCGUAGGUGGGGUAACGGCUCACCUAGGCGACGAUCCCUAGCUGGACUGAGAGGAUGACCAGCCACACUGGGACUGAGACACGGUCAAGACUCCUACGGGAGGCAGCAGUGGGUAAUAUUGCACAAUGGGCGCAAGCCUGAUGCAGCCAUGUCGCGUGUAUGAAGAAGGCCUUCGGGUUGUAAAGUACUUUCAGCGGGGAGGAAGGGAGUACAGUUAAUACCUUUGCUCAUUGACGUUACCCGCAGAAGAAGCACCGGCUAACUCCGUGCCAGCAGCCGCCGUAA
Molecule: ribosomal RNA, 506 nt
Filed under: uncultured bacterium
Lineage: Bacteria
Description: partial 16S ribosomal RNA
Rfam family: Bacterial small subunit ribosomal RNA
Source: RNAcentral